UGGAGACGUGGCCACGGAGGGGAACGUACAUGGUAUUUGACGUUAUCACAACAAUAACCUUCUCUCUGUGUCUUCAUCCGCCAUAACGUGGCGUGACAGAGGUGAGCGUUGUCGUGUGGUUUUCACUGAAUACUCACCUUCCUUGGAGAAACUGUCAUGAUCCAACAAUCUCACCGACUGAAUGUAUUUCCCAGUGUGGGAGAUGUCUGAUUUCUUCAGGGGACGGACAGGAUAAACAACGGCACUGCACUCUCUGCUGCUAAAGAAGUGUUUCUUUUUUAUUUUCCGCCUCCUCAAGCAGACGUAUGCUAUUUUAGAAUCUUCUCCCCUAAUGUUCCCAUCAGAGUGGAAAAUGAUUUAUAGAUAACUUUGCCAACAUGUUUCCUCUGACUGAUGAAUAAUAGGGAUGUUUUGGAGCGGCCUGGCAUGUAAACAUGAAUCUGCUUGAGGAUUUAUGGAUUAGCAUGAUUGUCAAGGAGACGUACAGCAGCAAAGACUUAGAGUUCAUCACCCUGGACAAAAUG
Long non-coding RNA from Gambusia affinis (western mosquitofish), 524 nucleotides. RefSeq lists it as uncharacterized. Lineage: Eukaryota; Metazoa; Chordata; Actinopteri; Cyprinodontiformes; Poeciliidae. The record is from RefSeq and is a predicted model, not a curated record. The transcript has 3 exons.